ACCCCCGGGAAACUGGGGCCAAUCCCCCAUAGGGGAAGGGCGCUGGAAGGCCCCCUCCCCGAAAGGACGGCGGCCGAUCCGCCGCCGCCCGCCCGAGGAUGGGGGCACGGCCCAUCAGGUAGUUGGCGGGUUAAAGGCCCGCCAAGCCGAAGACGGGUAGGGGCGGUGAGAGCCGCGAGCCCCGAGAUCGGCACUGAGACAAGGGCCGAGGCCCUACGGGGUGCAGCAGGCGCGAAUACUCCGCAAUGCGGGCAACCGCGACGGGGCUACCCCGAGUGCCGGGCGAAGAGCCCGGCUUUUGCCCGGUCUAAAACGCCGGGAGAAUAAGCGGGGGGCAAGUCUGGUGUCAGCCGCCGCGGUAAUACCAGCUCCGCGAGUGGUCGGGGUGUUUACUGGGCUUAAAGCGCCCGUAGCCGGCCCGGCAAGUCGCUCCUGAAAUCCCAGGGCUCAACCCUGGGGCAGGGGGCGAUACUGCCGGGCUAGGGGGCGGAAGAGGCCGCCGGUACUCCGGGGGUAGGGGCGAAAUCCGUUAAUCCCCGGAGGACCACCAGUGGCGAAAGCGGGCGGCCAGAACGCGCCCGACGGUGAGGGGCGAAAGCCGGGGGAGCAAAGGGGAUUAGAUACCCCUGUAGUCCCGGCCGUAAACGAUGCGGGCUAGCUGUCGGCUGGGCUUAGGGCCCGGCCGGUGGCAAAGGGAAACCGUUAAGCCCGCCGCCUGGGGAGUACGGCCGCAAGGCUGAAACUUAAAGGAAUUGGCGGGGGGGCACACAAGGGGUGAAGCUUGCGGCUUAAUUGGAGUCAACGCCGGAAACCUCACCC
RNAcentral lists this ribosomal RNA (819 nucleotides) under uncultured Thermoproteus sp. RNAcentral's name for it is "bacterial SSU rRNA". It matches the Rfam family "Archaeal small subunit ribosomal RNA", at positions 128 to 932 of the family's 1478-position model. The record is from RNAcentral. Lineage: Archaea; Thermoproteati; Thermoproteota; Thermoprotei; Thermoproteales; Thermoproteaceae.